GCAGCAUGGAAAGGCUAAGGAAGACCCUGUGCUCCAGAGGCUGAGGCUUCCUGUGCCAGCAUGCAGGAAGAUGUCUUCAGUUCAUGCUGCCCUGGAUCCUGGCACAACCUCCUUCCCUGGACCAAAUGCUUAAAGAGACAUGAAAGCAGCCACAGUCCAGUGCCCAGGGAGGGCUGCAGACUUUCUGGAAUUUGGCUCCUUCAGGCUUCUUGGAAUCUGUAGGCGUUUGAUGAAAUUAGAAAAAGAAGCAAUGCUACCAUGCUUGUCCAGCUGUCCCCCAUGCUUCAGUGGGCAGGGCCAUUUUCUUGGGCAGACUGUGUUCUGUCAGCCUCCACAGCCUGUGGGGAGGCAGAAGUCCUGCAAGGCUGAUUUUAGCAAGCUGGGAGAGACUGGAGAAGAGUGCUUCAGGGCUGGAAUUUCCAUCUGUCCUCAGUCACGAUACCCUCAGCAGUAACGAUACUCAGCUCAACUCCCAGAAUGUUUGGUGUGAAUGAAUUUUCACUACAAUAAAAAUAGAUCUGCUAUUCUUUAAAA
This is a non-coding RNA of Peromyscus maniculatus bairdii (prairie deer mouse), 534 nucleotides long. Lineage: Eukaryota; Metazoa; Chordata; Mammalia; Rodentia; Cricetidae. The record is from RefSeq and is a predicted model, not a curated record.